This 276-nucleotide ribosomal RNA is filed under the name Lelliottia amnigena. RNAcentral describes it as "partial 16S ribosomal RNA". It matches the Rfam family "Bacterial small subunit ribosomal RNA", at positions 224 to 492 of the family's 1533-position model. The record is from RNAcentral. Lineage: Bacteria; Pseudomonadati; Pseudomonadota; Gammaproteobacteria; Enterobacterales; Enterobacteriaceae.
GAUGUGCCCAGAUGGGAUUAGCUAGUAGGUGGGGUAAUGGCUCACCUAGGCGACGAUCCCUAGCUGGUCUGAGAGGAUGACCAGCCACACUGGAACUGAGACACGGUCCAGACUCCUACGGGAGGCAGCAGUGGGGAAUAUUGCACAAUGGGCGCAAGCCUGAUGCAGCCWUGCCGCGUGUAUGAAGAAGGCCUUCGGGUUGUAAAGUACUUUCAGCGAGGAGGAAGGCGUUGUGGUUAAUAACCUCGGCGAUUGACGUUACUCGCAGAAGAAGCA